This is a long non-coding RNA of Bicyclus anynana (squinting bush brown), 22049 nucleotides long. RefSeq lists it as uncharacterized. The transcript is spliced from 4 exons. NCBI's taxonomy places the organism in Eukaryota, Metazoa, Arthropoda, Insecta, Lepidoptera, Nymphalidae. The record is from RefSeq and is a predicted model, not a curated record.
UAAAUAGUUAACAAAUAACCACACAUUAGAAAUAAUUUUACAACAGGCUCCAUGACAGGAGUCAAGUCAAGAAAAAAUAUGAGUCUUUUAAGUCCAAACUCAAGUAGCAGUCCUUUGAAGUGCAGUUCUUAAAUCUUCCAACUUAAAGUGUGAAGUUUUAAUGAUUAUAAGAUAAGUAUAAAACACAUCUUCUCGUUGGGUAUCAGAAAAAUCGGCGAUUAAAAUUGAUAGACUUGAUGUUUACACGCCGAAAUAGCUCCUAGAGAUAAUAUAAAAAGUAGUAGUUCCUGGAAGUAUGUUUUUUUUUUUUUUUUUUUUUUUUUUUUUUUUGUUUUUGAAUAUUUACGAACCGCAGGUAACAUUGAUUGGGUAACAGGCCUUGUAAAAGAAUUUUUAUUACCCUUAAUGUAAGACAGUACCAAUGAAUCAUUUGCGAUCAUGGACCACUCAUUGUAAAAUGAGGAAAGACGACCAGCCAGCUUUACCCUGCGUAUCUAGCGACGAGUGGGGCAUGAUCUCCGCUGCUGAUGCUGUGACUGCUUUGAGGAGGUACUUGACCGACUGCGCAACGAGGUGGUUGCAGGCUCCUUCGUCUUCGGAGUCUGGGGGUACCAGCUGCCUGCGAUUCGGUCCCGGAUUCUUCCAGUUUUUUUUUUUUUUUUUUGAAGAAUUGGACCCGCGAUAGCGUGAUUUGUAUUAAUUUGGCUCCUGAUUUUAGCUUAGCGGAUUUCAGGGUUUCAGGUAAAUUCUCUCCAAAAAGAAACUUAUGCAACUGACAACUUUGAUGUUUUGCAACUGUUUCUACAACAUCCUUUUUUUUUUUUUUUUUUUACCGAACAAGAGAAAAUUUCUCCUGGUUAUCGAAUCAGCAUGUUGACAGUCACAUAUUAUGCGAACCGCAUCCAUCAUAGGCGUUCGUAAAGGAGUAUUUUUCUUUAAAAUCUUUGCAUAACUUCUUGUCUAAGCCACCAUUGCACAGUGCUCUGGUCUAACAGACAAUUCUUUAUGUAUAAUUUUUCUACAUUUCUUUUCAUUAGUAGGUUCAAUGCCUAGACUUUGUAAUAACUCAUCGUACAGAGAUGGUUCUGUUGUUGCUGUGAUUGCUGUGGAUGAUUCAUCCGUUGGAUGUGCAGAGCCUGCUAACAGUACCGUACUAGUAUCUGGUUGUUCAGAUAAAUGCACUAUAGAUGCCGGCGUUAAUUGUUCUUCCGAUUCAGGUUGCAAUGACACUACAAUGGUAGAAGGCACGGAAGGUGUCCUUAUUUCGCACGCUGUGCUGGGACCAGGUUUUGCCACAUCCUCAUUUUGCAGAUCAAUAUGCUACUCCACAUUCGUUUGCAUGUCGGCAUCCGGUUAGCAAGAGAGGCAUAGCCUCAGUAAAUAAGUAGAAAGAGGCAGUCCCUAAUCAGUAUGAUACGUACUGCCCGCUCACUACAUAGAAAAUGCCAUAAAAAAGUUCCAAUGUACUGUACGAAAAGUCAUGUUUUAUUUUAAUCUCAGUUGUUUAAUAGUCCAAUGGAAUAAACGCUGAACUGUGUAGUAAGUAAGAGACAGUCCCAAUGUUUGUACAAAACAAGUACUGCCCGCAAACUUUUAUAGGCCCGCUAUGGGUAGGUUUAAAAUAAGUAGAAAGAGGCAGUCCCUAAUCAGUAUGAUACGUACUGCCCGCUCACUACACAGAAAACACCAUGAAACAGUCCCAAUAUACUAUACGAAACGUCAUGUUUUGUUUUAAUCUCAGUUGUGUAAUAAAUAGUCCAUGCGAAUAAUUGUUAGAUAGUAAGUAAGAGACAGUCCCAAUGUUUUUACAAAACAAGUACUGCCCGCAAACUUAUAAAGAUCCGCUAUCGGUGGAUUUAAAAUAAGUAGAAAGAGGCAGUCCCUAAUCAGUAUGAUACGUACUGCCCGCUCACUACAUAGAAAAUACCAUGAAACAGUCCUAAUGUACUGUACGAAACGUAAUGUUUUGUUUUAAUUUCAGAUGUGUAAUAAAUAGUCCAUGCGAAUAAUCGUUAGAUAGUAAGUAAGAGACAGUCCCAAUGUUUUUACAAAACAAGUACUGCCCGCAAACUUAUAAAGAUCCGCUAUCGGUGGGUUUAAAAUAAGUAGAAAGAGGCAGUCCCUAAUCAGUAUGACACGUACUGCCCGCUCACUACAUAGAAAAUACCAUGAAACAGUCCCAAUGUACUGUACGAAACGUCAUGUUUUGUUUUAAUCUCAGUUGUGUAAUAGUCCAUGCGAAUAAUCGCUAAAUAGUAAAUAAGAGACAGUCCCAAUGUUUUUACAGAACAAGUACUGCCCGCAAACUUACAAAGAUCGGCUAUGAGUAAGUAUAAGUGAUAAUAUAAUGCCGAACAUAAAUUGUUAACCUACCUAAGGUAGGUAGUUUAGGCAGCAUCGACCACAAUCUAAAUUGUAUUGUAUUUUGAACACUCACUGUAAGUAACUAUUUACUAUCCUACCUUGUUCACUCGGUGAUCGUGGAGAUGCAGGCGGCAACGACGUCGAUGAUGACUCACUGAUAUCACUUCGAUAAUACCGUCUUCCACAUCGUAUUUUCUUUUCAAAUUUUUUCUCAUAUGCUUUUAAUCGUUGUCACUUUUUAAUUUUGGCAUUGUUAUACCUUUUUUAACACUUUUAAUCAGAAAAAAAGACUAUCGUACCGACAUAAUAAUUUUAGUCGCGAGCGCGUGUAUGAAACGGCGAAGCACUAAAAAGCGAAUGACAAACCUUUCGAGCGCGGGACUGAGAUAAACAAAACUACCCUUUAAAAAAAAUUUAAAAUAAAAACCAACGAUUACUCUCAAAAUAGUGUGAAAUGGCUUGCGCUGCGCGUUACUACAUGUGUCUCUUUGCUAAUCUCGAGGAAGAAGCCUGAGUAUAAUAUAUAUUUGUGUGUACAUGUUUUGUUCCAGAAACAGAAAUUAUAGAGACAAUCCACGGGAGGCGUUACCUGAAAUACAGGAACUACUACUAUUCUAAAAGGUCCAAAUAUGGCUGGAGGUGUAUCAACACUAACAACUGCUUUGUUGGACUCUCGACAGAUGACAGAUUGAACGUAACCCAAGAACCUGCGGAACACGCUCAUCCACCUAAGAUGUUCAUAAAAACCCUUAAUGGGACUUAUAUAAUACAAAAACCUUCAAUUGGUUAUAUUAUGCCUAUUCAUAUACAGUGAUCGAGGUUUUUAACUACUUCCGAGAAUGAUAAGCCGCGCAAGAAAUAUACACGGCGACGGGAAAGCGUUACCUGAAAUACCAAGGCUACUAUUACACGAAAAGGUCGAAUUAUAGUUGGAGAUGUAUCAACACAAACAGGUGUUACGUGCGAUUGAAUGUGGACGACUUUCUCCGUGUCCUGAGACCACCUAGGGAUCACUCACACCUGCCACCGUCAAACUAUAGAACUGUACGGAUUUCUGGUGGCUACGGAUAUCGAGACCAGCAAUUUAUACUAAGCUAACUCAGAAAAAUGAAAGUACAGUAGGGGAUUAUAAAGGCAAAACGUGAUAACAUUUAUAUUAAACGCCGGAUAAGUGCGAGUUGAACUCGCGUGAAGGUUUCGAACGAUGUCAAACAAACAUUUUUCAUAAUCAAAUUUAUUUCAGAUGGGCUUAUUUUACGUACAAGUACUUUUUUUUUAAUUAUAAGAUUUGUAACAUUUAGAAUGUUUAAAUAUUAUGUCACUAUUUUUAGUAAAAAUCCUCGCUUCAAGAUAUUUGACAUAAAAAACGAUUUCACCUAAAAUUAGAGUUAGCAUAGUAUACAUUUGGUGUCUAUAUGUUGCAAUAAGAUAGUUGAAGCCUUAUAAUAAUAUAAUAAUUAUUAUCCCUAGGGAUAUAAUAUAUGUAGUUUUAUACCCUAGUUGUAUACCGGAACACCACCUACCGGCAAACACAUACCGCCAAGCGAUUUACUGUUCCGGUACGAUGUCGUGUAGAAACCAAAAAGGGGUUUUGAUUUUCAUCCUCCUCCUACCAAGCUAGCCCGCUUCCACCUUAAAUUGCAUCAUCACUUACCAUCAGGUGAGAUUGUAUUCAAGGGCUAAAUUGUAGAGAAUAAAUAAAUAAAAAAAAGUAAUAUAAUUUUAUUGCGGUAAAGCACUAGUUCAAUUACUAGAUUAAGUUUAGUUAAGACUAGGAGUGUAGUGCGGCGAUAUCGAAAAAUGGAUUGGUUGACAAGAACUUUAAACAAAAUCAAAGUCUAGGCAUUCCGACCCCAUACCGUCUUGUAUCCUAGGGCAUACCUAGUGGUGGACACCUAGAGUUUUUUGUAAAGCUUGUGUCAGAAAUUUGUAAACGGCCUAAUAGUCUACUCGUAAGAUCCGAAUUAGGAACGACUUUCACCCAUCUGUUUACUAGACGAAACUAUUUUAUUUGAAAUUAAAAAUGUCAAUCAAAAUAUUGCCAAUGAGUUGCCUAAAAAAUGUCAGUUCAGAAUUUGAUUAUGAUUUCUACUCGCAGUUACUACGAGUAAUAUCGAUUGACAUGUUAUACCUGUGCAUCCAAGAAUUGUGACGUAAAAAUACCUUAUCCAACCUAACGUUUGCAUAUUCUAUAAAGGCUUCACGCUUCUUUCGCUCGAUCGAUUGGUAUGGAAUUUGUCUUUUAACCAGACCAGUGAAAAGUAAAAAAUAAAAACAAAUGCCAAUUAAUCAUAUUCUCAACCGUACUUUUUUAUGCAAUUUCCCUUCAUUGGCAUAUUUGAUUUCUUCUUCUUCUUCGGCCUCGCCUUGUUCCGUUUAUAUGGGGUCGGCUUUCCCAAUCAUGUGGCGCCAUUUGGUACGCUCCUUUGCGUCAUCGUCUGUUAGGCCUUUAUCUUUCAGGUCCUUACGGACCUUCGUUAACCACGUUGUUGGUGGUCUCCCUUUCCCCCUCUUCUUAGUAUCCAUGGAAAGGCACUUUUUUACGAUAUGGUCGUCUGGUCUGCGCAUCACAUGACCGUACCAUCUCAGCCUGGACUCUUUUGCUUUUGCAGCUCUUUCUGCGACCUUGAAGCUCCCUCUAAUGUGUUCAUUGCGUACCUUUUCCUUGAGUGUCACUCGUCGUACGCAUUUCUCCAGUACUCCAUUUAGCGUACUGUGUGAUAAAAAUAUUGGUAUAUUUACUUAAUUUGAUGUAAAAAAGUUAUCCAGUAAAUAGAUGGGUGAAGGUAGUUUUAUAUAAAUACUCUACUAUAAAGGAACCAAACCUACGAGGUUGAGUGGAGCGAGGUUACUGGCAUGUAAAGAGAACUGGCGACUCCUGUAGCGAAUCGAGUUAGUAGUUUGGAUGAAGGAUUAAAUACUUGACGUCCUGUCUAUUCAACCAAAUUACCAUAAACUUUAAUCCAUGAGAGUAUUGUUAACAGGCAAGGCCAAAUAUAUUGCUAUGAUACCACAGUACAAAGAAAAUGUAUGUUACUCGUAAUUUACAUGUAAUUUUUUUGUGAUUAUUAAAUAGCAUUUAUAAAAAGCUUUAAAACACACUUUUAUGGUUUUUAUUACCUCUGUGAUAUUAGGCCUAUAAAAAAUUAACAAAUUAAUCAAAAUCAAUACCAUACUCUAUUUAAAAAGCAUGCUUAAUUGUUCUUGUUAUUGUAGCUAGCUUUUUUCAUAAAAAUGAAGAUACAUAUUUUUGUAGGUAAAAACAAUAAUAUGAUUUGUUUUAGGUCAAAUCAUUACAACGAUACAAGGGAAGCAGUAUUUGAAAUACCAAGGACAUUACUACACUAGGACUCCGAACUUGGAGAACAGAUGGCGUUGCAUCAAUACCCAUCACUGCUUCAUAAGCCUACACGUGGACGAUUUCUUGAACAUAGUAAAGCUACCGCGCGAACACAUGCACCCACCUAAAAUGUUCUACAAAACCAUAGACGGGACAUACAGGCUUGAAAAGCAACGGCGCCCGGUUAAAAAACAAAAACAGGAACAACUUUUUAAACGUCAGAUUAUGUACCCCUAUCAAAAUAUACCCUCCCUAUAUAGAAUUUCAAUGACGUAAGAUUAAUUGAAAUAUAUUUAUUGACGUCAGUUGUAUGGAUGAAAUACGAGUUUAAAGACGUCGAAAUUUAAGAUUUAGCGGUAGCGUGAGAGACAUACCAGUAGAAAUGUAGAAUUUGUAUGUCUAUUUUAAUCAAGAAAAUUAUUCGUACAAUGCACGAGCCGUACUUACAAAAUUUAUUCAAAUUGAUAGAUAUAAAAAUGUUCAUGGAAUUGAUCAUUAGUGAUUUACAGAAAAAUAUCAAAUUUGCAAAAACUCAGCUGUUAGUGUCAAUAUACAUAUAAAAAUUAAUAUAGGGCAUAGUAAACAGUUUUGGAAAUGCUGGACCUAAUGGCUAUCAAAAUGAAUUUUUGAUUAAUAUUAAGCUUAUUUAAUAGUUAAAUAUCGUUCUGGAAGUAUUAUAGAAUUUAAUUUUUAAUGAUAAUGUAUUUAUUGUAACAAUUGUUGUAAAUUAAUGUGUAAUGUGCCAUCUUUAUCUUUAAUUAAUAUACUUAAUUAAUUGAUCUUAGAAGCUUUUCGUUAUUGUUCAAUGCCUCAGAUCCUGGAGCAUAUAAAUGUAGUUUUCUUAGAGUAAUAAUUAUUUUAAUUUUACCAAUCUAACUAAUCGUAUACAAUAUACAUAUUAUAAUAUGUAACAUUAACUAUUGCGCAAAUUGAAAUCCUUAAUAUUGUACUUUAAUAUUGUUUUAGUUUUAACCUCUCUAAUUCUGGUCUAAUAAUCGCAUUGUUUUAAUUUUGAAUUAUUUUUGUGUUUUCAAUUAAAUUUGUAUUCAUUUGUUGCACAGGGAAAUUAAUCACUUUGCAAAAUGGCAAAACGCAAAUGUUAUUCAACCGCUUCACCUUCUUCAAACAUUACAAAACCCGUACAGUAAACCAAGACAGGUGGAGUUGCACCAACUACCCCAAAUGCAAGGCAUAUGUGUACGCUGAUGACGCCCUGUACAUCUUGAGAGUGCACAACGAACAUAACCAUGUAAUGAGGAAAUUACAUAUGACUAAAGAGGGGGUGUAUAUUAAAAUUUAAAUGCUCUCGAUAAUGACGAAAUCAUAGACAUAAGUAUUGGUGGCGGUCGUGUUUUGUGUUGUAGCGUCUUCAUAUUUGAAUACAAAAAUAAAAUCGCUAUGUACCUUGUGGAAUUUAUUGUCGAGGAUUAUAAAUCUACGAGUACGUAAUGGUCAAUCGCAAAAUCUUCUGUACAAACAGUACACAUACUUUAGACACUCCAAGAACCGCUGGAGCUGCACCAACUAUCCCAAGUGUAAAGCGUAUUUGUACGCGGCAGAGGACGUCGUUGUUGAAGGUGACCAUAACGUUCACAACCACAACAUACGGAGGCUUCAUAAGAUUAGCGACGGCAUGUACAUUAAGAUUUAGAAACUAUGUAAAAUGAAACACUAUCUAUAUAUACAGGGUGUCCAGUAAAUAGUACGAAAUGCUCUACAGGGCGAUAGCUGACAUCAAGGCCUAUUAAAAUAACACAAUAUAUGUUAGCCGAAAAUUUACGGUUUUUAAGUUAUAUUGGUUUUUGUACAAAAUACAAAAAAAAACCUUCAAUGCAGUUUAGUCGUACCAUGUGCUGAAAAAAUACUAAAGCUUUGAUCAGAUUUGGGUGAAAAUUGGUGGAGAGGUAGCCUCUCAAACCAGGGAGUAGAAUAGGAUAGGAGUAAGGAAUGAGUCUUGGCAUUAGGCAGGGAGAUCAACAUGAGCGGAGAAGGGGAAUUAAUUGUCGAUUAUCAAGGAAUUCCUUAACCCUACAUCCAUUGGUCACAAGUCCUGGACUUUGCUCGGAGUUUUUCUCAUUGCCACGCGAUGGACGCGGCACCCGCACGGUAAAUCCAUGGAUUGCUAAGAUAUUCGUCUCUCUCAUUUACUACUUCUUUAUGUUGCAGCAUGCGUUGACCAACAAUGUUUUGGUAGACCAUUUUUUGCCAGUAGGUAAGAAAGUAUUGUUUGUUGUUACUACCAUAUAGUAAUGUUACCUUCAUGUUGUUUUAAGUAUUCUUAAUGAAAAUAUAUCAGCUUUAUCUGUAUCUUUAUGAUUGUGAGAAACACCGGUAACCUUCAUAUUAUUUUAAGCAUUCAUAAUUCUAAUAAUUAUGUACAUAGUGAAAGAAUAAAAUUUCUUUCUUAAGAAAUAAAUGAAUUUUGACUUCUUUAGUUUUCUUGAAUUUUACCUUAAGACAAAUUUCAUUGAAACAAACCUUAGCCGAGAUUACCUUUCGUUCAUAAGAAAUACACACAUACAAAGCAGUGCCUUAUUUAGAAGUGGGUCGGUAAAAUGGGCUGAUAGAUUUAUAUAGGUAGAUGCAAACAUGAACUGCCUAUCCUGAAGACGAUCACUUGUAUUGGAAAAAGAAAUUUUUACGUACCUAUAAUGCUUACCCUAGUUAAAAACCUUGUGCACGUCACUGCUGAUAGUGAUAUUUAUUUCGGGGUCUUUAUUAUAUGACUCAUAUAUCAUUUAAAUCUAUGAGUAUGAUUAAUUUAAAUUGAUUAUUAUUUUCAGGAAAACUAAUCACUGUACAGAAUAGUAGAGCAUCAAAUCUAUUACAUAAAGAUUAUACUUACUAUAGAGAAAGACAAAACAAAAUUAAAUCUCGUUGGAGAUGUACCAGAUACCCUAGUUGUAAGGCCUAUGUUUACGCGAACAACGAACUGGCAAUAAAAAGCGUUCAUAACGAUCACAACCACACAGCUACUCAAAUGAUAUUAGGUAGUGACGGCACGUAUUUUAAAAUUAAAAAAAAUAAAGGAAAGAAGACUAUUCGAAAAAAAUGUCUUAAAAAAUAGCCAAACUUUAUCCGUCUCAAAUGUUAAAAAGUAAGUCUUUUUAACACGCUUAAAUUAGCUUCACUUGUAACUAUGUAUGUAAGAAAAUCUUGGAAUCUUAAUUCGACCCACUUCCUGGUCUUCGAUUAGGAUGAAAUUUUGCACACGCUCUGAGUUCUAAUGACAAUACAUUACUAGCUAAGAAACGUUUGAAAUCCACCCCCAUGAUAUAGAUAUCAAGUAAAAGGGUUUGCUGUCAGGAAUACGACGAAAAUAGUCACGUGACUUAAAUUCAAUAUGGCGGACGUCCAAAAUGGCGGACAGGCUAUUUGAAAUGCACUCCCAUAUGGGUAUCAAAUGUAAGGAUUUGAUGUCAGGAAUACGAAUACGAAAUAAUAAUAAAAUAUGAAAUAAAUAAGUUUGAUCUUCGUUUUUAGGUCAACUUUUCGUUUUAAGGAAAGGCAGACCCCCGAAUCUGCUUUACAACGAUCAUAUUCAUUACAAAGACCGAAAGGGUCGCAAAGGUACCCGUUGGAGAUGCACCAGAUACCCAAAGUGCAAGGCGUACGUAUAUGCUACCAAUGAAUUAGUAAUAAAAACUGUUCACAAUGAACACAACCAUAUAGCCAACAAGAUUAUUUUGGGCACUGACGGUAGAUAUUAUAAGACACGUAUUAUGUGCACACCCUAAAUGUCGAAUGUAUACAUUUAAGGAAAUGUAUAAUUUGUAACUAAAUAAAUUAGUCCAAAUUUAAUAAAGUGUGUAUCUUUUUAAGCUUAAAAGUCCCUGUGGGUCACCUCCCGAUAAAUCAAAUAUGCAGCUCAAAAUAUCAGCUGCAUGGUAUCAUAUUCUACCAUUGUCGUAAGUAAACGAAUAUUAAGUUUAAAUAAACGUCAGGAAGUAGUUCUAAAGCCGGAUUUAUUUAUUUGUCUGACGUGUUGUGUUGUGACGCAUCAGAACAGAAUCGGUUUCAUACAUUUUGUAUGCGGCACAUCAGAAGCCAUCACGACAUGUCACAACACAUAAGUGUAAACGUUGCCUUAUAAAAUGAUUCAGUUCUGAUGCGUCACGUCACGUCACGUCACGUCAUGUUAAUCCGCCUUAAUUUAGCUUUCAAAUUUUGAUUUACACACUAACCGGCGAAAAAUGAAGAAGAUACACACAAAAUGUGAGUAUGAAAUAUUAAAAAUUAACUAAGAAUUAGCAUUCACAAAUAUCAAAAAUUCUAAAUCAGGGAAGGGAAGCUCUUAAAAAUUAGUUUUAGUGUAAUUGUAUAUUUUAGAAUUUAAAGUAUCGUGAGUGUUAUUCAUAUUAAUUUAUUAUGAAAACGGCUAAAACUCAUGUGAUAAAAAGUCGGAGUAUGCCCGACUAGUGUCGAACCAAUACGGGGCCCUUAGUCUUGAGCUGGUUCAACGCGACGGCGUGCGCAGCCGCUCGCAGCGCACGUUGAGAGAGGGGCUGAGGGGUGGGGAGUGAAGGGUCCGUUACCGUAAAUUGUAUAUUUUAUAAUCUUUGACUGUCUGUUUUAGGGCAACUUAUCACUUUUCGUAAUGGCAGAGCUCCUAAUCUGGUUUACAAUGGUCACACUCAUUACAAAGACCAGAUAAGUCGCAAUGGCUACCGUUGGAGAUGCACUAGAUACCCAACCUGCAAGGCGUACGUAUAUGCCAGCCACGAAUUGGAAAUAACAAGUGUCCAUAAUGACCAUAACCAUGUAGCGAGCAAGAUCUUGUUAGGCAGUGAUGGAAUAUAUUAUAAAAGUAAAAUAUUAUAAAUGAAACGUGUUUGUUUGUUUAUUUAUUUAAAUGCGAUAAUCUCCUAAUCUUUUAAAAGUAAUAGUAAUUAUUACUUUUAGUUUUGUAAAAUUGCACAAAAUUAGGCAUAUAAACCACUUAAUUGUGUUUGUUUUUACUUCGGUUAUGCAAUAUAUGCGGUUUUAUUAAAUUACUUUUAUUAUCUCUGUAGAAUACUGUCAAUGACUACGAAUCAGUCGGCUCAGUCCUACGCACAUCGCGCGCCCCUUUGUGGUCGUACCAAAAACCGACAAAUCUCGGAUCGAACCGCGCACGAGUUGUAACGCUCGGAGCGAGCGACCCAGGCGCAGUUCGUGCGCCUGGGUCGCUCGAGGCGUCCAAACCACGAGCAUUCGUGAUACAUUGCAGCAAUGUGGACGUCAAAAUCUUGCAUUGCAUGUUGCAUUACAUGUUGCAUUGCACCAAUCUGUACCCACCUUAAGAUGCAAAAUAUAUAACUGCCACAAGUUCACACAAAGUGUACGAUUGAAUAUUUUUAAGGAAUUUUGGAAGAUGAAUUGGGAAGCUAAGAAACAAUUUGUUAAAUCUCUGGUAGAUAGAAAACCUACUGAAAGGAAAACUACCCAAAAAGCUGAUACAAGACGAACUUGUACUAAAGUCUAUUAUUUAAAAUUAAAUUAUCAAAAACUUAGAGUGUGCUCAAAGACUUUCUUUGGCACAUUAGGUAUUAAGCAGAGUACCGUAAGGUCUUGGUCUUGCUAAUGGAGAAAAAAGUAGGUACUGGCUAGAAGAAAAAUAAAUUUGAUAGUAAACUUAUUUGACACAUAAUUUAUGAAAGUGUUUUGAUAUGUUUAUUGAAGCAAAUAUGAGGCAAUUAAAAAGGUAGCUGAAAAUAUUAUUAUUUUCAGCCUAUAUCUACCUUUUAGGUAUUACAAAUGUACAGAUUUUUAGAUAGUCUGAGACGCGCUUUAGCUUUUUUUAAUUUAUUAUGUCUGUAUUGAUCUAGAUUUAUGUUUCCACAUGCAGCUCUAAGAACAACUUAAAAUUCUCAACCCCUUUAUAUUAAAUAGGUUUAGUUAGUUUUCAAUCCAUUGACUCAUACUUUAUGGUAGUUGGCUUUAAACCACACAUUGUAAGGGAGCAAGACAUUGUCCUUUAGUAGGCCAUUAAAAAUGGGCUAAUAAUUCAGGACAUAGGCCUGUCUUAGAAACCAAACACCACGGUCCUGAGCCGCCUGCAUCUAACGACACUGCUAAUGUCGAGGAUUAAUAAUGAUAACAUUUACCGUUCUAGGGGAACUGAUUACAAUGCGAAACGCACGAAACAACGGGAGAAGUCAAAAUCUCUUAUAUAAAAACUACACAUACUUCAAACACUAUCACAGAGGUACGAUGAUCAGGUGGAGUUGCACGAACCACCCCAAGUGCAAGGCCUACGUGUUCGCAGACCACAACAUGGAGAUCAAAACCAUCCAUCACGAACAUAACCACCACUACAGGCCACUUCACAGAACAAGUGAAGGGACGUACAUUAAACUUUAGAGCGCGCCGAACUUAUUUGGCAGAUGUUUUUAAAGCAGCGCUUGACAAGCAUGAAUUGUAUCUGGCUGUCAGAAUAUUGAUAACAUCCGGUAACAACGCUGAAUUAUUUCAUGUAAACAGUCUGCAGGCUGUUGACAUGAAGUCAUGUAUAUUGUCCUUUUCAUGGAAGAAGUCCGCCAGACGGCUGUAAGGCGCUGUCAAUUUUUGUUGAGGUUAUACUCUAGUAUAUUUUAGAUACAUUUUGCUACGAAAAUAUUAUAUAACAGCCUGUUUCCUUUUAUAUGAAAUUAGCCCGCUGCCCCACGGUUUGGUCGGCGUAGUGCCCGUCCCGUGUAAAAUUUUCCAAAUCAGUUCAGUAGACCCAGAGAUUAUAACACCACAAACUCUUAAUAAUAUCAGUAUAGAGAAGUUCUCGCUUGACCACGAUCUCAUCUGGUUGUGAGUGUUGAUGUGGAACACAAUAUCCCACUGCCCAAAUAUUUAACCAGAGGGAGAAGAAUUAAUACGUCAGGUUGGGAUCGAAAUAGAAGUUGGAAAUCUAGACAGCAUAAUGCUGGAGACGAAGGAGAAAUGGGAAGCUAUAAGAUUUUAUCUAGAAGGAAUAAUAAAGUGUAAAGAGAAGGACGAAAGAGAAAGACAUAGAGCUCAGUGAUACAUAGAUAGGGGGGGGUUAGGUUAGGCUAGGUUAGGUUAUUUUAGGUUAGGUUAGGUAGGUCGAAUUGGCAGGAACACCAACGCAUUGAGGUCAGGAGGGGCUUUUUUUAGCAGGUAGAAGUCCGGCACUAUCCGGUUCAGGAUGUCCAUCAGGAUAUUUUUCCUCCUGAAAAAAAAAGUGUAGACACAGUGGUCUGAUAGUUUUGUCAAUGAGCCUUAUUGUAAUUUGUCUAUGGAGCUGUCAAUUUUAGUUCAGGUUUUACCCGCAGAACUUCUUUCAUAAAAAAGACUUUACUACAACGGCGAAAACAAACUUGUCAUUUAUUAAAAAUAACCUUACUCUUUCUUGACCGAUUUAAAAUAAUAAUGUAAAAUAUAAUAGGCAAACAAUGUCUUAUAAGAAUUCAGACUAAGUACCUAAUAAAAUAAAUAAAUCAUGGAUUAUUUAAGAAUAUAAUUUACAUUAUAAUUUCAUUGUAAUAGAAUAUUGAAUUAUGUUUAUGCACCUUCGAUAAGUUACUUAGAUCAUUGUUUUUCAAUAAUUUGAUACCUACUUAUAACUACAAUUUUAUUUUUAAGGAGUUUUGAUAAACUUGAUGAAUGGUAAAUCGCGGUUGCUAUACAAGAACUUCACAUACUACAGGCACUACGCUACUAAAACACAAAUAAGAUGGUCGUGUACGAGCCAGUGUAAAGCCUAUCUGUACACAGACCUCGGAUUUGUUGUGAAAAAGAUGUGUGGAGAACACCACCAUCUUCCUAAGGCCAUGCACAAGACUCAGGAGGGAAUAUAUGUUACUCUGUAAAUUAUCAUAUUUAGAAGUAGAAUCCAUAGUCAUAGGCUAGUUGACUCAUAAAUUUAAAUAUAGAUCAUCAUGGCCGACAGCGUUUCGGCUCGUAUUGUCAAAAAAUAUUUAAAUUUUUAUGUAUUCACGUCGUUAAAAAAAAUAUGAAAAAAAAAUAUCAAUCUAAGAUAAUGAACAAUUUAAGACUUUUUUUCCCAAUCAAGUUGGGAGCCCAUGAUGAUUAAUGCGGAUUUACUCGAAGGGACCUAUUAGAUUUGGUAGAUCAGAUAAUAAGAUAUCCGAUGAUCAAUUGUAUUGAUCAUUGGAUCACCUUCCAACGUCACACGUCACACAACGUCAAGUAAAAGUAAAAGAAAUUGUUAUGAUUUACAUUUGUAAAUUAUAGUAUCGUAUGAUUGAUUUUAAAGACCAACUUUUGAUUUUCUUGCCGGCUCUCUUCAGCAGAACCUGCCUUCCGAAUCGGUGAUAGAGUCUUUACAAAUAGUCUACCUUGACGUUUCAUAGGUGCAUGUAAACUUAGCCUUGAAAUAAAUGAGUUUUGAUUUUUAACCAACCUUUACUUUAAUCUGACGUGCUCAUCGAUCUCCUGUCUCUUAUAUUGGGGGUUCAUACUUGGUGGAGUUACUUAAGAUCAUGCAGGGAUCCUUGUGUUCAGCUUCGAGUAAGUCCAAAUACUCCCACUUGGGCUCCCAUACUAUUUCUGGUAGCUAUUUAAUUAAUAAUUAAAACAGACUUGUUUAAUUGCUACGUUUUCAUGUCUACUAUGUUUGAUCUAGAAUUAAAAAUUAAGAAAGUAAAGCAAAUAUAUUGCGAGUUAUUUGGGACCAUUCUAUAAUACAUUCUAAUCAAUAGUACAGAGAUUUGAAUAAUAAUAACCUUUAAUUUCAGUUCACCGAGUAAUUACAGAAGACGGAAAAAUGUUUAUAAGAUACAAAGGCUUCUAUUUUACGAAGUUGUCGUCGAGCCGAACUAGAUGGCGUUGUGUGUCGACCAAAACUUGCUAUGCAAGUGUCAUUCUUAAUGACGAUUUUUCUAUAGCGAAAGAAACUGGCUCUCAUCACCAUUUACCCAAGUUCCUCUUGAAACUGAAAAACGGUAGAUAUAUUUUUGUCGCGGAUUGGCAGAGAUAUCAGAAAACCGUUGUGGCUGUGCAAUAAAAAUUUUACAAUUGCUGUGCAAUAUGUGUAUUAUAUAGAACUUAAUAUCGUAGCUAGAUAGAUACUUUUUUAAUAUCUCCGUUACCAGUUCAUAAGCCUCCUUCUGAGCUAAGUAUCAUUGUAAGAAAUAUUGAUAAAGACUAAGGAUCCCUAAAACUCCUAAAAUGUGAAAUGCGUUACGUUUCUACUCAAUAUUUAUGUCACUAUAGCUUAGCAAGCUCGUUGAUGACACUCCCAUGAUAUGCGGGCGACGGGGAGGGAAGGACUGCGCGGGUGUCAAGUCAGGCGCGCGGGGCAGAGGCUGGAAGUGGGGUGCAUCAGGUAUGAGUUUAUCUGUCAUCGCUACCCGCCUCCAAACCCCCGCGGACAUCGGGAGUGUUACGAAAGAAUUUGCCAAACUAGAGCUACUGCCGCGUGGCGCAGUCGGUAGGACCCUGCUUUUUGCAUCAACGCCCUUGGGUUCGAUUCCCACAACUGGUAAAUAUAUGUGUGAUAAGCAUAGGUUAUAAUAUUAUAUUAUUAUAUCUAUAUUAUAAAAUCAGUUGUCUUAGUACCCAUAACACAAGCUGCGCUUACUUUGGGGCUAGAUACUGAUGUGUAUUGUUUAAGUAUAUUUAUUUAUUUAGUUAUGAGGUGCUUUAAUAGGACUGAUAUAUUAUGUAUGUGUUUCAGUUUGAUUUUACUAGCGAACCGGCUUCGCAUUGGUGCAAUAUCUUUUUAAUAGCUGAUAUAUUAUAGAUUAGUUAAGGCGGAUUUAUAUUUGUCUGUAGAACAGAAUCGGUAUACAUUUUGUUUGGAACACUCUGAUGUGUUAAACUUACUUAUGUGUUGUGACAUGUCGUGAUGGCUCAGAAGACAUGUCACAACACACAUGUGUAAACGGUGCCAUACAAAAUGUAUGAUACCGAUUCUAUUCUAAUGCUUCACGACAUGACACGUCAGACAAAUAUAAUACCGCCAUAAGUCUUGUAUUUUUUCGUUCUAAAUAACAUUGUUUUGAUUUUAUCAAUGAUAUACCUUUUCUGUGAUCGGAUCUGGGUUUAACCGGGCGUUAAUUGUAUACAAACACUUAUCUACCAAAAUACCAUUAUGUACAAAAUAUGUAAAAUGCAAUUAUACGAACCUUUCAGGUUUAUAGCUUUUUCCAUAUUCCCGUAUUCAAAAUUGGUUAAAUGGUUUAGAAGAAGUAUGCAAAGAAAUAGAAAGAUAGACAAAUUAGUGAAUUCGUUUUAAGCGAUAUAUUAAUUCUUAAUUUAGGGAAAUGUCUUUUACAACAAUAUUUUAUUUGAUUACACAUCUUAUAAUAUUGGACCGCGCAGAUGUUUUGAAAUGAAUAGGUAUUUAUUACCUGUAACGUUAUAAACAAAUUAGAUUCCGUUGAUUGUGAGUUAUUAAGCAAUAAAGAUUUGAUUACUACUUGGAUAGUUUUAACUUUUAAAUUGUUAUUUUUAGUGGUAGGUGAGACAGAAAAAGUUGGAAGGUUUAUGUAGACAGCUUAGUUUACUAGAUAUACUUGUUGAUACUAAAGGUGGAAUUAUGUUUGUCUGACGUGUCGUGUCGUGACGCAUCAGAGCAGAAUCGGUAUCAUACAUUUUAUAAGGCAACGUUUACACUUAUGUGUUGUGACAUGUCGUGAUGGCUUCUGAUGUGCCGCAUACAAAAUGUAUGAAACUGAUUUUGUUCUGAUGCGUCACAUAACGACACGUCAGACAAAUGUAAAUCCAGAACGUGCCCGGGGUGUACAAGAUUCCGUGUGACUGUGGUAAGUCAUAAAUCGGUGAGACUCGCCGUAACAUCACCACAAGAGUAAAAGAACACAUACGGAGCAUGAAGAAUGUGGACACGGACGGUUCAGCAAUAGCCGAGCAUGUUCUAGCUUCGGGUACGACUCAUUAUAUCCGUUUUGAUAAGGCUUCUGUAUUGUCAAGGGAAAAGUUUCUAGUACCUCGUAAGAUACGUGAAGCGAUAGAAAUUAGUCGUCACCCGAAUUUUAAUCGGGAUCAUGGAUGGUUGCUGCCCACAGCGUGGAAACCGCUAUUUCUUUCAUUGUCACAUACAACAAACUUGGAACAAGAUAGCAUUAGUUCGGUUUGCUUACAAGAAGACGAGUCUAAUGAAGAUGACAUUAAUGAACCGUCGGAGAGUGUAACGGAACCUUCACUCCCCACCACUCAACCCCUCUCCGCGCGCGCAAUGCGUGCAGCAGCGCGUCGCGCAGCCGCUUCGCAGUUUGGAUCGUGCCGCGAUGCAAGAACCAGCUCAUGACUAAGGGCCCCGUAUGGGUUCGAAACUAGUCGGGCAUACUCCGACGUAAUAUCACAUUGCAGGAUGAUCACCAUGUUUAAUGGGCGCAAAUAUUACUACUACAUGGGCUACACGUAUACUCUGGGGCACAAGACCAAGCGUGGGAUGAGGUGGCGGUGCACGCUUACCUCGGACUGCAAGGCUUUUAUCAUGAUAUCUACAGAUGGACGGCUCACUCAGUCUGGGGGAGAGCAUUUGCACGAAAGGCCACGACUAAAUGCCAUAGCAGGUGGACGAUUUGUAAGGAUCUAAUUUCUUGGUUACGCGAUUCAGUUAAUCGUUUUUUGUACAUUUAAACCCCCUUAAUAUAUUAUCUUAAAAAAUGUUCAAGAGUUUUAUAAAACCUACUAGCGAAUCCGGUCAAGCUUUGCUUUGACUUAUGUGCUCCUUUUCCUUACCCUUACCUUACCUCUACCCUAAGAAAUGUAAUUUAAUUAUGUGUAGUUUUCAGAGUUUCAUUAUACUUGUAGUAACAGGUAAUACUUUCCAAAUUGCGUAUUUUUAUAUCAAAGGAAAGAAUUGUAUAAAUUAUAAUUCCCUUGAAAAAAUAAUUAUUGUAGCCUAAACAGCAAAGAUUACUUACUAUACUUAGGUCAAUAGCGACUCAAAACUGAGGUGGACAACAGUGGUUAAUUGUCUUAAUUUCAUUUAGUCGCAUUUUAAACAACGAAAGCUAUUUGAAUAAAUAAUACUUACCUAAAUAUUGUUAACAAUAUCGAGUUGUGUAUUUAGGAAAUCUAAAAACUAUAUAUUCAGAAGUAUAUAAUGUAAGUAAACACAAAGUUGUGCAUGCGUGCGCUUAGUGAAGUAGCUAAAUUCGGAUCACUUUUUGUGGUGAUUUUUUAGGCACGUAAAAUAUUUAAUAAUAGAAAAUCUUUGGUAAAUCAUCGGUCUACCUCCAUCAAACUCUCCAUGGGUUCAACCUACUGCGUUUUUCGGUGCAGGGUCCCCUUUCCAGCAUCUUUGGACUUGUUUUAUGUUGUGUAAACUUAAGCUUGACUACAAUUAUGCCUAAUUGAAAGGGAUGAUGAGGUCUAAGGUAAAGCGAGCUUGCCUUGCCUUGCCUUGAACACAGAAGCUGGAAGGACAUUCCACAUCUUAGCAGUUCUUGUUAGAAACGAUGAUGCGAAAAGUUUCGGACGGGUUGGAUGGUAACAACUAAACGAUGCCCUCAGAAUACAGAAAACAUCAGAAACCACGUUCAGCCGUCAUUAUAAAGCACGCAUUGUGUCCAAAAAUUGCACGUGACACAACACGGAAUGACUAAUCGUUUGUUCGUGAAAUUACCUACACCAAAAAAGAGUAACGGCUUUAGUAGUUUCAACGGCUUCAUUCCUAUGCGCGAUCAUUCUGGAGUUUUCUAUAUUCUGAGACGAUGCCAUUCUCCACGGCAUUUCGCUGAUUUGAGGGUAGAAUGGAGAUGGAGAAACUAGAUUGUGAAGUUCCUGGGCACUCUAAAAAGUGUAUUCGGUAAAAAACCGACAGACAGGCAACGUUACUUCGGUGUUUAAACUUUGUAGUUUCAUCCGUGUGUAGUUUAAAAAAAAUAAAGUGAUAAAACUAAACUUAUCCUUUUAACUCCAAAAGCUUUUAUAAUUUCAGAUGAAGAUGAGGCCGAGCCUGAAGUUAAAGAUAUAACCAUGAACAGUGGGAAAGUGUACAAGUUUGUGAAUGGGUACACAUAUGGUGCCGCACAUAAACUCCGCGCGUGUAUGCGAUAUAGAUGCACUACGGGCUGUGGAGUUUAUUUGUACUUGAGUUUUGAUGGCGAUCUCGUUGGCCGGAUACCCACACACAACCAUAUGCCGCCAAGCCUCUUUCUUACUGCUUCAGGGAUUUAUAUUCGAAGAUGAGGCAAAACAGCCAAAACCACGGAGCAUAAAACAUAAGCUCUCAGAUUAUGUCAAACCUUUAAGAGAGUUAUGGCUUCCUUCAAAUAUAGACGGCAUUUCGCAAUGUUGGCUCAAGAGAAGUGAUGGGAUAUUUGCCUGAAGCAUUUAGUUUUUCUGAAGCCAAAAGCUGUGGAGUGGGUGUUGCUUAUAAAGUACUCCCAAAACUUCUGCAGAAUGCUGUUAUUAAAAUACUUGUUCGGAAUACUCAUCAUCAUUAACAGCCGAAGUUCGUGCACUGCUGGUCAUUGCCCUGUUGCAUGGACUUCCAAACAAAACGGUCUCGAACCAGCAUCCAGCGGCUCCUUGCAACUAGUUUCAUGACUGCGCCAAUACUGCGCUUUCCCGUGCGAGGUCGCCAUUCCAGCACCUUGGGACCCCAACGUCAAUCGGCUUUUCUAUGUGCCCUGCCCGUUGCCACUUCAGCUUCGUGACUGGUUGAGCUAUGUCAGUGACUUUUCGGAGUAUUACUUCAAGAAAAUAUAGAUGAACAUUGCCUUGAAACUUUCCUGCUAAAGCUGCGACGGAGCUUACUCCGUAAUUAGCUACCGUAUUCACAUAUGGUGUAAAAAAGUAUGGUCUUGCAAACCUUCAUCCUUCAUAGAAUGAGCCAUAUUCUACUUCUCGUAUAAGUUUCACGUCCAACGGAUAAGCUGUUUUGGGGCCAAAUAUCAAAACAUGAUAAGCACUUUUUUUUUUAUUAACAAUUAAAAAAAAUACUUAUUUUAUUUAAUUUAGAGAAAUAUAAAACAUGGUAAAUUUUGUUCUUCAGAAACUGAAGUUUUACUUUUAAUUACUUGUUUUUAUAUAUAUUUACUUUAGAGAGUACGUAUAAUAGUCGGGCAUACUCUGCCGUUCACGUGAGUUUUAGCCGUGUUUCAUAAUAAAUUAAUAUAGGAUUACUUACCGUUGAUAUUCUACGAAGUGAAUUUUAUAAUGUUAAGCAAGCGCUCACUUGUGACUUAUAUGAGCUUGUUUUAACUAUUUGAUUGGUACAAAAUGGACAAUAGGCAGUGCAUUUGUGCAUCUAGGAAGUGCACACUACUGGACUCACAGGUCUUCGGCAUCAGCACGUGGAUUUAUUAAGUUUUUCAAAAAGGUGGAAGGUGGAAAAGAAUUCAUGUAAUAUUUAUUCUGCUUUCGGAAGACAGUUUGGCUCUGAAUGUAUGUACGAGUAAUUUGAAGCAUUUGAGCAACGAUCUGUUGGUAAACGAAUUUAUAAGCCACACACGGUCUAUAAAUAAUUGUUUUUUUCUUUGUGUAAUUUGACUACUACAUGCAAAACCUAACUUCCUUCCGAAGUAGAAUAAUACGUGUACAGUGUUUUUAAAAACUAAUUGUGUAAUUUUUCAGUAUCAUUUGCUCUGUCACAGAGAGGCGGCCGGCUCCUCCUCUUCAAUGGUUAUUCUUACAGUUAUCAGAGUGGCAAAAACGACAUCAUCCUUUGGAAGUGUACCAUGGGCCAGCCAGGGACCACCAAGCGAUGUUUAGCGAAGGUUUAUACAACUACUCGAUAUAAAGUGGUAGAUGACGUUGGGAAACACUGUCAUAGGAAACCGAUGUUUGCAAAACGAAAUCAUAUGAUGGUCAGAGUUAAAAACGCAUAAUGAUCUAAUGUCAGCCACUGACGAUCAAGUAAUCUCACAUGCUUGCAGCGAUAACGGCUUGAUAGCUGAUAAAACUGAUUGUGUGUUGGUCGUGAUGUGCAUGACUUCAUGCUGAUCGCGAUCAUAACACGGACAGUUUUUUCGGACGUCAAACGGUUAGCGCUGCAGGCAUGUGAGAUUACUUGAUCGUCAGUGGCUGACAUAAGAUUCCCAUAUAUAAAAUGACCUUCACCAACCGUCUUUCUUCUUUUCUAUUAUCCGCCGGUCAGUAGUAAUGUGUAAUUUCUUUCUAUUUCUCAUAUCAGUUCGAUUCACCUGUCUAUCUGCUUGAAAUGUUUUAGGCAACCCAUUAGCACUAUAUUUAUUUUGAUUUCAAAAAGUUUUCGGUAGAUCGGCAAAGGUCGUCUAAUGUUCGGAUCUUCUGUUAUAUUUAUAUCUUAUUUCCUCUUGACACGUCACACAUUCACAUUGUGCAUGUGAUUUUUUCACUUGUGAUACCUCUACAUAUCAUAAGAUUGCUAAAAACCUCUACACUCUAUGAUUUAGGUGAUAAUAGGCUGUAGGUUCUAUAGUAUUUUUAUUCUAUACUUAUCUAUGAAGCAUAGUGCCUACUGUAUGAUAUACUGUAUGUAUACUGAAUAUCAUUUGAAAUUUGAGGUAGGUAACGUAAAUAGUGGUGCUAAAUCGCAUUUAACAAAAUUAAAACAAGUUGAGAGUUUAUUUAUUGUGAAUUACAUAUCUUUCCCACAAGGCAAAGGGUAAGAAAACUAUGGCUUUACGAGAAAUACUACGUAAGUUAAAUUAAUUAUGAAUUAAAAUUAGACUUUUAUUAUGCAUAUUUAUAACAGUUAUAUUUUUUCUAAAUUAUGUUUUGGUAGGACUUACAUAAUGACGUUGUUAGAUAUUUAAAUAGAAAUUGUUUAUAUAUGUACUUAAAGGUCUCGCAGAUGGGUAGAAUAGUUCGAAUCGACGUAAACUGUAGUAAUUUAUUAGGAUCAGUGGAAUACCGUGCUCAUUAGGCCUAACAUGCGACCAAAUGACCUUAUCUCGUGAAAAGAAAUAGACAAAUAAAAAUAUAUCGCUAUCUAUUUCGUUGUGUUGGGAUGAAAGAGAUGGUACUGGGAUAACUCCGACGCCAUUAGACGAAAAGAGAUGUCCCACUCUCAGUAUAUUGUUUAUCCCCAGACAAAAAAAAAAUUGGGGUGGUGUGGGGUUAUUGCGAAUUAAUUAUCAUAACAUCUCACAUAAUACCUAUCUACAAGGCAAAAAUUAAAAUUAUUUUAAAACCCCGCUAUUUCCGAGAUUUCUGUUUAUAUCUUUCAAUAUAAUAAUUGUAAGGUAAUUUUAGCACAUGUAUAUUUUUGGGUUUCUUGGUAUUUUUUCAUUUCAUCUGACCUGGGGAAACUUUGGGACAUCUCCUUUUGUAUAUAUUUCUCUCCAUUGGUCCCAGGUUAGCGCCAGUGGUAACAAUAUUUUAAAUGUAUGGGGAACCUUUGUUUGACUGAGUGUUGAUGGCUUGUGCCUUUGAAAUGUACAAAUAAUUGUAAGUAUUUGUAAUAAUUUAAGUAAAGUUUAUUCUUGUUUGA